Non-coding RNA from Picea glauca (white spruce), 46 nucleotides. Lineage: Eukaryota; Viridiplantae; Streptophyta; Pinopsida; Pinales; Pinaceae. The record is from Rfam.
GUAAAGGUGUCUUUAGACACCACCUAUUUUCUUUGAAUUUAUUCCU